This 1175-nucleotide ribosomal RNA is filed under the name Travancoriana sp. FB-3. RNAcentral describes it as "partial 16S ribosomal RNA". Lineage: Eukaryota; Metazoa; Arthropoda; Malacostraca; Decapoda; Gecarcinucidae. The record is from RNAcentral.
UUUUUAUAUCUUGUUAAUUUUAAAGGGGUAAUAUUAAUUAUAUGAAAAAGAUUUUUAAAAAAAUAUUUAAAGUAAUUAUAAAUGAAAUGUUUUUGUAACUAGAGUAAAAAGUACUGUAAAGGAAAGAAAAAUUUAAAUAAUAAAUAAAGUAGAGAUAUAGUUUUGUACCUUGUGUAUCAGGGAGAGUUCACAUGAAUUAAAAAGUUAAGGGUCUCGAAAUAAAAAUAGCUAAUUUUAUAAUAGAGUUUUUGUGGGAUAUAAAUUUUUAAUAUGAAAUUAAAGAUGAGAUGUUAGACGAGUUUUAUUAUAUCUAGUUUUCUAAAAUAUAAAUAUAAUUUAGGUUUUGCAGGAAAAGGAUGCAAAAAUAAAGAGUAGGAGGGAUAAGCUUCUUAUUAAGAAAUUUAAUAAUUAAAUAAUUUCAAGGUAAUUAAACUAAACUUAAGAGUAGCUAUGUUAAUAAAGUGUUUUAACUAAGAUUUAUAGUGAUUAUUCUAAAUUUUAAAAAGUAUUAGAAAAUUGUUUGAAACAAAAUAAAGAAAGAUAAAAUGAUUUUAUUAGUAGAAUAAGAUUAAAAAAAUGAAAAUAAAAUAAUAUAGAAAUUGUUUUAAAAGUAAAGAUAAUUACAGAGGAAUUCAGCAAUUUUUUUCUUUGCCUGUUUAUCAAAAACAUGUCUGUCUGGGGUUAUAGAAAGUCUAACCUGCCCACUGAGAUAUUAAAGGGCCGCGGUAUUAUGACCGUGCAAAGGUAGCAUAAUCAUUAGGUUUUUAAAUGGGAUCUUGAAUGAAUGGUUGGACAAAAGAGGAACUGUCUUUGUAUUAGUAAUGAAUUUAACUUUUAAGUGAGAAGGCUUAAAUAAACUAGAGGGACGAUAAGACCCUAUAAAACUUUACAUAAUAGUUAAAUUUUAAAGAAUUUAAAUAAUAAAAUUUUAUUUAGUUAUUUUGUUUUGUUGGGGCGACAGAAGUAAAAUUUUUUUUAUAACUGCUUAAAUGUAAAACGAUUAGUAAUUGAAAAUAAAAAAGAUCCUUAAUAAUGAUUUAAAGAUUAAGUUACUUUAGGGAUAACAGUGUAAUUUUUUUUGAGAGUCCAUAUUGAAAAAAGAGUUUGCAACCUCGAUGUUGAAUUAAAGUAUCUGUAUAAUGUAGCUGUUAUAUAAGAAGGUCUGUUCGACCUUU